Molecule: ribosomal RNA, 229 nt
Filed under: uncultured bacterium
Lineage: Bacteria
Description: partial 16S ribosomal RNA
Rfam family: Bacterial small subunit ribosomal RNA
Source: RNAcentral
UAAAGUGGCGUACGGGUGAGUAACACGUGGAUGAUCUACCUCUUAGUGGGGGAUAACCUUGGGAAACCGGGGCUAAUACCGCAUAAGCCUGAAAAGGGAAAGGAGCAAUUCGCUGAGAGAGGAGUCCGCGGCUGAUUAGCUAGUUGGUGAGGUAAUGGCCCACCAAGGCAAUGAUCGGUAGCCGGCCUGAGAGGGCACACGGCCACACUGGCACUGAAACACGGGCCAG